This 680-nucleotide ribosomal RNA is filed under the name glacial ice bacterium MS-T6-04. RNAcentral describes it as "bacterial SSU rRNA". The stretch from base 78 to 680 matches the Rfam family "Bacterial small subunit ribosomal RNA", at positions 875 to 1465 of the family's 1533-position model. The record is from RNAcentral. RNAcentral also lists the same sequence under 1 other name.
GAGUAAAUUUUUGGGGUGCCAUUCCCCGGGGAUUUCCCGUUGACGGCAGUUAAACGCCAUUAAGGUGCCCCCCCCUGGGGGAGUACGGCCCGCAAAGGCUAAAAACUCAAAGGAAUUGACGGGGACCCCGCACAAGCGGCGGAGCAUGCCGGAUUAAUUGGAUGCGAGGGCGAAGAACCUUACCCAAGGCUUGACAUAUACGAGGACGGGCCAGAAAUGGUCAACUCUUUUGGACCACUUCGUAAACAGGUGGUGCAUGGGUGGUCGUCAGCUCGUGUCGUGAGAUGUUGGGUUAAGUCCCGCAACGAGCGCAACCCUCGUUCUAUGUUGCCAGCACGUCAUGGUGGGAACUCAUGGAAUACUGCCGGGGUCAACUCGGAGGAAGGUGAGGAUGACGUCAAAUCAUCAUGCCCCUUAUGUCUUGGGCUUCACGCAUGCUACAAUGGCCGGUACAAUGGGCUGCAAUACCGCAAGGUGGAGCGAAUCCCAAAAAGCCGGUCCCAGUUCGGAUUGAGGUCUGCAACUCGACCUCAUGAAGUCGGAGUCGCUAGUAAUCGCAGAUCAGCAACGCUGCGGUGAAUACGUUCCCGGGUCUUGUACACACCGCCCGUCAAGUCAUGAAAGUCGGUAACACCUGAAGCCGGUGGCCCAACCCUUGUGGAGGGAGCCGUUGAAGGUGG